CGUUUAACCGCAGCCCCCCGGUACAGAGCCGGGCGGCUCGGUUCCAUUUACCCCGACUCUCAGGUUGCCUUCUCGUUGGAAUUUUCCGUUCCACCUUAAAUGGCGCAGCAGUUAGCCUGUGUGAAGUCUGGGUGUGCCACCAGAAUGCAACUGCUGCGCCAUUUAAGGUGGAACGGAAAAUUCGGACAACAAGCUAACGCCAGCGCCCGGCUCGGUCCGCCGAGCAGCCCUGCUGGAGUUCCGUCGACCCGGUCAGCCACGCAGGAAGCCCAGUCCCUUUCAGCGAGGGCAGCGUGUGGGUCCAUCUCCGGACCGCGGCCCCCCUCGCCCUGAUAAACCAGCCCAGACUGCCUCGUUCCGCUCAGCACUUGCGCACUUUUCCAGUGUUUACACGUCAGUUGACGCCAGGGGGCGCUCCCGGGCGAGUCCGUAAUGAGUGGACUAAUCUGGAGCAUCUGAGCAAAAUAGUUAAACGGUUUUAAUAUAAAGGAAUACAUUAAUUUCCUGACCAAGCAUAAAACACUUCAACGCCACUGGUCUAUUUUUUUUUUUUUAGAGCUUUUAAACUCGAGUUGUAGGAGUUUAAAACGUCCAUGGGUUUGAACACUGGUCAGCCUGGUCAUGGCAGGGUCCUGUGAUGUGGGUGCCAGAUGGACGGGAUAUUCCGUUUCUGAAGUUGUGCGAGUAUUUAACAUUCCUCUAUCCAGUGUUGUGUGUACCAGGAAUACACCAUGAAAGGCACUACCCCCACAGUGGACAGCGCAGUGGAUGCUCACAGGUGCUUAACGAACGUGACUGGCGGCGUCUGACUAGAUCUGUCUGUGCAGACAAGCAACUCCCAGAAAUCACAUCCACAUUCGCUGCAGGAGGUCUCACACGCAUGUCCCACAGAUGAACCUCACUAGCUGCCUGUUGAUGGCCUCUCUGGGGCUCUUCCUAGUUCUAAUCCUUGGUAAGUAUGAUCAUGUCUUAAACAGUGGCUGGAAGGAAUAAAUGUGUUAAACACAAUGUACAGUGUCAUAUUUGCAGAUGUGGGUAGUUAUAAUUUAGAUGGAUUUGAGUUUGUCAUUAUGAUACAGUUUCUAAAGCUCCUGAUCUGCGACGUCUAACACGGUAACUUUACAACUUUGUUCAGAGCCAUGUUGGCCAGAGUGAGCGUCUAACUCCUGUGUCCCUUUUGUCCGUGUAAUUCACUCUCAAGUCGAGAUCACGAAACCAAGUCGUUCUUUGUAUUACGGGCUUUAAUCACACAAAGCAUGAUAGUGUGCCGUGAGAACUGUUAGACAUACAGAAAGAUAAAACAAAAAAAACAACUUAUUUCCACAUAAAGACUUCAAAGGAACAACACGACCGUACUGUUACAUGAAAUUCGUCACAUUACAUCUUUACACUCUUACAAAAUUACAGUAACAGAAAACAUUAAAUGUACCUCAUUGGCCGCUUUCCCUUGAGAGAAAAUUAGAAAUCUUCAGUCCUUAAACGCACUAUGCACUUUAUCCAAUCUUCCUUAAUCAUUGCUGAUCUUAGGCAGAGGAAUCAGCGAGGUGUCUGCCUGCUAGCUUGGUCCAGCAUGUUACAAGUAUAACCCUCAAAAGUAACACCCUAUCAACCCGCGGCAGCAAACUUUGGUUCCCCCCUAUCAAAACAAACAAUAUACAUGAAAUAUAUGAAAUUAUGCUUCUAAUAUUUAACUAUUUUACUAGAAAUGUAUGUAUUUAUGAACUCUAUAUUUUUUAACCUAAUAUUUAUUAAUCUAUUAUUUAUUUAUUUAUUCUGACUUCGAUGGCAGCUACACUCCCACCAAAUCACUUGUGAUUUUACUCAAAC
Pygocentrus nattereri (red-bellied piranha) is the source of this 1827-nucleotide long non-coding RNA. Lineage: Eukaryota; Metazoa; Chordata; Actinopteri; Characiformes; Serrasalmidae. The record is from Ensembl.